This 404-nucleotide ribosomal RNA is filed under the name Actinomycetes bacterium. RNAcentral describes it as "Actinobacteria bacterium partial 16S ribosomal RNA". It matches the Rfam family "Bacterial small subunit ribosomal RNA", at positions 355 to 776 of the family's 1533-position model. The record is from RNAcentral. Lineage: Bacteria; Bacillati; Actinomycetota; Actinomycetes.
UGGGGAAUAUUGGACAAUGGGCGCAAGCCUGAUCCAGCCAUGCCGCGUGAGUGAUGAAGGCCCUAGGGUUGUAAAGCCCUUUCACCGGUGAAGAUAAUGACGGUAACCGGAGAAGAAGCCCCGGCUAACUUCGUGCCAGCAGCCGCGGUAAUACGAAGGGGGCUAGCGUUGUUCGGAUUUACUGGGCGUAAAGCGCACGUAGGCGGACUUUUAAGUCAGGGGUGAAAUCCCGGGGCUCAACCCCGGAACUGCCUUUGAUACUGGAAGUCUUGAGUAUGGUAGAGGUGAGUGGAAUUCCGAGUGUAGAGGUGAAAUUCGUAGAUAUUCGGAGGGACCCCAGUGGCGAAGGCGGCUCACUGGACCAUUACUGACGCUGAGGUGCGAAAGCGUGGGGAGCAAACAGG